GUAGGGUGCGAGCGUUGUCCGGAAUUAUUGGGCGUAAAGAGCUCGUAGGCGGUUUGUCGCGUCGACUGUGAAAACCCGGGGCUUAACUCCGGGCCUGCAGUCGAUACGGGCAGACUAGAGUUCGGUAGGGGAGACUGGAAUUCCUGGUGUAGCGGUGAAAUGCGCAGAUAUCAGGAGGAACACCGGUGGCGAAGGCGGGUCUCUGGGCCGAUACUGACGCUGAGGAGCGAAAGCGUGGGGAGCGAACAGGAUUAGAUACCCUGGUAGUCCACGCCGUAAACGUUGGGCGCUAGGUGUGGGGGUCUUUCCACGAUCUCCGUGCCGCAGCUAACGCAUUAAGCGCCCCGCCUGGGGAGUACGGCCGCAAGGCUAAA
This 374-nucleotide ribosomal RNA is filed under the name uncultured bacterium. RNAcentral describes it as "bacterial SSU rRNA". It matches the Rfam family "Bacterial small subunit ribosomal RNA", at positions 527 to 898 of the family's 1533-position model. The record is from RNAcentral.